AUAAGUACACUCAAAAUUAAGUAUCACGAAUUAAGUCUGUUUAAACUUACACACUUAACUAGUACCAUGAGUAAAAUCAUGUCAAUGGUUUAUAUGUUACCUUUAAUUGGUAUCAAGUAAGUCAUGUGAAAGCUGUACUGUUACUUUGUAACAUUUUUUUGAACUGUUACAUUUGUUAAACUUACACACUUAACUAGUAC
Limulus polyphemus (Atlantic horseshoe crab) is the source of this 200-nucleotide long non-coding RNA. RefSeq lists it as uncharacterized. Lineage: Eukaryota; Metazoa; Arthropoda; Merostomata; Xiphosura; Limulidae. The record is from RefSeq and is a predicted model, not a curated record. The transcript has 2 exons.